AAUCAUCUCAAUAUCUGAGUAAAAAUAUUUUUUUGUUUUACUACUUUGAGUUGAGCUUUCCUUUUUCUUUAUUGCUGAGAUAAGCCUUGGCCAGUCCUCCCUCACACACGGAAGACUGCAGUGAAGAGCCACUAUGGACUGAGUACCCCACUGCUGAACAGAAGAACUUACGGCCCUGAACCCAAAGAAUAGGUCUGGAUAUCGUGGCUCGUUAGCUGUCACUGUAUUAUUUGUCCAUGGAAUCUGAUCAGCUGUUCCUGGUUGUCCAAACUGGUUAUCAAUUGCUUCCAAUUCCAGCUCAGGUAAUCCUGAUUAAAGAAGCAAAGCCCACGAUAUCCGAUUUCACCGAUAUGCUGGUGGCACCAAUGACUGACUGGUCUGGACGGA
Molecule: long non-coding RNA, 387 nt
Organism: Eptesicus fuscus (big brown bat)
Lineage: Eukaryota; Metazoa; Chordata; Mammalia; Chiroptera; Vespertilionidae
Exons: 3
Source: RefSeq, a predicted model, not a curated record